GACGAACGCUGGCGGCGUGCUUAACACAUGCAAGUCGAACGGGCCUGUCUUCUUUUUUGGGGGUGGGUUGAGUGGCGAACGGGUGAGUAUCACGUGAGUAACCUGCCCUUCGGUCCUGGAUAACCGCUUGAAAGGGCGGCUAAUACGGGGUGGUCCGGUUGGUCCGCAUGGGCUGGUCGGGAUAGAUUCACUGUUUUUGGUGUUUCGGCGGGGGAUGGGCUCGCGGCCUAUCAGCUUGUUGGUGGGGUGAUGGCCUACCAAGGCGGUGACGGGUAGCCGGCCUGAGAGGGUGGGCGGCCACACUGGGACUGAGAUACGGCCCAGACUCCUGCGGGAGGCAGCAGUGGGGGGUAUUGCACAAUGGGCGGAAGCCUGAUGCAGCGACGUCGCGUGAGGGAUGGAGGCCUUCGGGUUGUGAACCUCUGUUUCCGGUGGUGAAGGCCCUGUCCGUGUGGUGGGGUUGACGGUAGCCGGGGAUGAAGCGCCGGCUAACUACGUG
Molecule: ribosomal RNA, 499 nt
Filed under: uncultured bacterium
Lineage: Bacteria
Description: partial 16S ribosomal RNA
Rfam family: Bacterial small subunit ribosomal RNA
Source: RNAcentral